Molecule: long non-coding RNA, 859 nt
Organism: Astyanax mexicanus (Mexican tetra)
Lineage: Eukaryota; Metazoa; Chordata; Actinopteri; Characiformes; Acestrorhamphidae
Exons: 2
Source: RefSeq, a predicted model, not a curated record
UGAAAAUCCUGUUCUUUUCCCAAAAAUCGUCAUUGUGCCUUUUAGUCAAGUGUGCCUUAUCUAUGAAUUUUACCAGUCAGGUUGUAAGAAGCAGUAAAGCCACUCUGCUGAAGUACAGCAUUAUACAGGAGUUUCAGUUAAGAUCUCCAGCGUCUGAAGCAUUAGCAUUAGCCGCUAACCACUAAUUCCCCCUUCAGAGGUGGAAGGAACCAUGGAUUCAGUUAGCUACCAGAAGAUGUUGGGUGGACAUGCCAUGCAGUCAGUGAAAAAGCUGAAGCUUAGGAGACGUUGGUUCUGCCAUGGCUUGCUUGCAGAAGAAGGGCUAGAAGGUUCUGGAGUGGCCAUCACAAUCGCCCAUCUUUACUCCUAUAAAAAAUCUCUGGUAUGCCUAAGGCAGUUGCAACACACAAGCCCAAUAAUGUCAAAGAACUGGAGGCCGUUGUCCAUAAGGAAUAGGCUAAAAUACCUGUUGAUCACUAAAAGAAACUUGUGUCAAGAUAUGUUUCACAUCUGAAGGACGUUAUUACUGCCAAAGAGAGCUGUACUAAGUACGAAUGUUGAAUGUGACUAAGGGGUUGUAUAGUUUUGUCAAUGAGGAAAUCCCAAAAAGAACUUGUUGAUAUAUUAGAAAAAGUAUUGAUGUAAUUUAAGUUGGUGUGUGGUUGGUGUGGCACAGUGGAUAACACCACUACCUUCUAGUGCGCUACCACAUCAAGUGUGUGACCCACCACUGUAAUAGAAAUAACCUUGUAAGUCACUUUGGAUAAAACUGUCAGCUAAAUGCCAUACAAAGUUGCAUUUGUCCUUAUUUAAUCUGAUUGUGAAUAAGUUUAAAAAAUAAAGUUAAACUUGCUAAACA